GACGAACGCUGGCGGCGUGCUUAACACAUGCAAGUCGAACGAUGAAGCACCAGCUUGCUGGUGUGGAUUAGUGGCGAACGGGUGAGUAACACGUGAGUAACCUGCCCCUCACUCUGGGAUAAGCCUGGGAAACUGGGUCUAAUACUGGAUACGACCGAUCUCCGCAUGGAGUGUUGGUGGAAAGUUUUUGUGGUGGGGGAUGGGCUCGCGGCCUAUCAGCUUGUUGGUGGGGUAGUGGCCUACCAAGGCGACGACGGGUAGCCGGCCUGAGAGGGCGACCGGCCACACUGGGACUGAGACACGGCCCAGACUCCUACGGGAGGCAGCAGUGGGGAAUAUUGCACAAUGGGCGAAAGCCUGAUGCAGCGACGCCGCGUGAGGGAUGACGGCCUUCGGGUUGUAAACCUCUUUCACCAGGGACGAAGCUAACGUGACGGUACCUGGAGAAGAAGCACCGGCUAACUACGUG
Molecule: ribosomal RNA, 469 nt
Filed under: uncultured bacterium
Lineage: Bacteria
Description: partial 16S ribosomal RNA
Rfam family: Bacterial small subunit ribosomal RNA
Source: RNAcentral